UUAAAAGGGAAGUCCAGGAACAUUCUGUCCCUCCUAGAGAGGGUCAUUUUGGGAGGUAUGGUACAGCAUAUCCAUGCUUGGCCACAGGUUUAUUAUUUAUUGUUGGACGCACCCCCGAUGAUAGAUGACUACUAUGUCGAAAUACUAAUACCAGAAAAAAAGAAGAGAAUCAGAAGGCUUAGCGUGGAACUUACACAUCUUUUAUGUCAUAACAAAAGCCAAAAUGUGGUGUGGUCAUUGUGAACUUUUGCAAGGUGGCUUUUAUUUUGAAAAAUGUAUUCAAUUCUGUUUUCAUCUGUGUUGGUUUCUUGUCGAAAUGCUGUGAUUAUUUCUUUUGUGUUACAAGUCCUGGCUGAACCUAUUCAUCAUACUGUAGCUGUACUGAAGGGACUGAUAAUAUGUUUACCUUGGACAGAAUUCAUAGAUUUUUAUUACAAUACUUACUGAUGUUAUUUCCAUUUUUUUAGUGCUAACAUAUUCAUUGUUCAGAAAGUAGUUAUCUAUUGUUUGUAACACAGUGAAAAUUGACACAACACCGAGAGUGUGGGUGAAAAUAUGUUCUGUGUCUGCACAUGGACAUUUAUUCCAAAUGUAAAACUGUA
Molecule: long non-coding RNA, 602 nt
Organism: Pseudophryne corroboree (corroboree frog)
Lineage: Eukaryota; Metazoa; Chordata; Amphibia; Anura; Myobatrachidae
Exons: 3
Source: RefSeq, a predicted model, not a curated record